UCGUAUAUCGUGCCCUAACUUCCCUUUCGUCCCCAAAUUUCCAUUACUGAAUUAAGGUUUCCGUUACAAUGAUCUGAGGCACAGUCACAAUAUUUGAUCGCUGCGUUUACUUCCGAAUUCACGGUAUGUUAACUCCGUCUUCUUAGACUUGCAAUUUAAGCAUUGCUUUUCUGCGAUCUUUUUUUUUUUCUUUCAAUAAUGUGUUUGGGUUCUGUUGUGAGAUAACGACGAAUUUAGAUCGAGGGGUUUCAUGAUUGAUUGUGAUGAAUUUUGCUGCAUUUAUGUUUCUGCAUUUAGAAAAAAUAAAAAAGGUAAAUUACGGUAGAGAUAAGGUCAAAUUACGAAAAUAGCCCUCAUGUUUGGGUAAUUACAAACACGCCCGUCAACUAUGAGUUUUCUUACACAUUCAUCCUUAUGGUGUCAAACUCAAUAGAAUAUUCUAGAUUAUGUGGAAUGUUUUCUAGUUUGUACUCGUUUUGUGCAACAAUAUGUAGUUUCUUAGUGCACCAUAAUCUGAUAUAUACAAGCCAAUAGACAAAUCUUACGAUCAUCUUGUUUGAUAAUGUGUAGCUCGAAUGGGGUAAAACGGAUACAAACUGAAGAAUAUUCCACAUAAUCUAGAAGAUUCCACUAAAUUUGACACCGCAAUGGUAGACGUGUAAGAAGAUUCAUAGUAGACGGCUGGUUGUAAUUACCCCAAUAGGAGGGGUAUUUUUGUAAUUUGACCUUAGCUCAGUAGGUGGCCGUAAUUUUCCCUUAAAAAUGGUAGAUAUUGUGAUGUGUUUUCAUUCUUGAGGUAAAAAACAGAAUAAAUUUUUGUGAUAUCUAUAAACUAUGGAGGAAACUUUGUAGUAGUAAAGACUUGUAUUUGAAAAAUGUAUAGGACUCACUCUCUUAGAUAUUCUAAUAUUACAUAAGAAAGCCAACUUAAUAUUACAACUUCAGCAAACCUUUAAUUUCCCUAAAAUCAAAUAAUUAAAUAGUAGAAAAAAAUUGAAAAAAACUAGAGUAGUUUUAUCUCCUCUGGAAGUUGAAUGCUCGGAUAGAAUAGGCGAAGAUGAAAGUGAAAAGCACAACAAAUCCGAGAAGUAUACCCGCAACCAUUCCAAGCAUGUCGUACUCGAACCCGUAAUAAUCCUUCAAGAACUGUUCAACCGUAACUCCACUAUCCAUUGGUUCCUGAAUUUUUCCAAAUUGAGUCACUAACAACCCGUACAGAGUGUAAGACAAUGGUGUCGCCCAAUAGUACCAUCUCCACCAAAUAGGGAUUCUCUGUCGUAUUUUAUCACACGUGUUAGUGAAUCAAUUUUACGCGGUAAUAAAAAAAAUGUGUUGCUAACAUAGAAGAAAGGAAACUUACUGGUCGUGGGAUGAUAAAUCCCGAGAAAAGAUUCCAUAGCGAGUAGAAGAAAGAAGAAAUGAUGGCGGCAAUGUUGUGGUUUGGUGUCACAGCUACAGUCAUCAUUCCGUAUAGGACAAAGUACAGUAACGAGAAGAACAUGAAAUAUAUGAACCAGAAGAAUUUCUCGGCCGUCCAGUCGAAUCCCAUCAUUGAGUAGACUAUCACACCGUAGAUUAGCGAUUGUACGAAUACGUAAGGAAUUUCGAUGAGAAACUGCACGCGUUGAAAUUUAAAUAGACUGUUAAGUAAUUCCGAAUUUUCGAUAACUUUUUUAUUGAAAGAUUAAAGUAGGGACUGCUCUUUUUUUUUUCUUUUUUGGUGUCGUCACACACUCACCUGUGAGAAUGCGUAUGGUAAAGCUGAAUACAUCCCAGCUGCUCUUUCUCGAUAAAAGACGGUUCUUUCAAUGGCUACUACAGGUUGUACCGUGGAACCGUAUUGGAACCCUAAAAAGAGAAUAGAGGUGUACAUAGAACCCAUUGCAUUGGACAGAUCUUGUUGAGUUUUCCUGCAAUCACGAAAAAAUAUUUGUUAGGGCGAGAUUUUUCGACAUGUCGAAAUUUUUUGUGUUUUUUUUUUGUUUUUUUUGUUGACUUACCAUUUAGAUCCCAAGUCCCAAAAGAUCGUUCCGAAUACAAGGGCUAUGAAUGUUGUGAACACGAAUCUAACCGCCGUGUAAGGUGGGUUCCUCCAGUAAGACCAGUGUUGUUUCCAAAGGCAAGCAACGCAUUGCAUGAAAAAAGAUUGGGAAUAUUUCGUCGGGUAAAAAAGAUCCUUUGUGCCUGGUUGAGGGACGCUUAAUUCCUUGAUUAGGGCCUUGUUCCGUCUGUAAUUAAUUCAAUUCGAGAUUUAUUAGCAUUUAUACUCGUAAUUUUUUUUUAAUAGAUGGAGGAAAAAUGAACUCACGUGUAGAGAUCGGAGUUUCUGUAGUGGUCAGUAAAGUCGACACCCAAGACGAGUUCUUGCGCAGAAGUAGUGACUUCCAACAUCCAUGUUGCUGGAUUGUAACCGUCUUUAAUCUUCGGUACUCCUUCGAUUGAUUCAAAGUAUUUGAUCAAAUGGAUCGAUUGACGACCCAAUGGCCCCACGUAUAUUUCUUUUCCUCCCCUUUUCAUCAAAAAUAGCUGCCAAAAAAAUAAAAAUUCAUCUCAUCUUUAGUAUAACUUAUAUAUGCACAGAUGAGAGAGUUUAUAGCAUUUAGUACCCAUGUGUAUAGGGAUUUUUUUUGUUUUUAAAAUAACACGGGGGUGCUGUACGCAAUAAACCCGAAAAAUUAAAAAUUAAAUAUUGUGUUGUGAUCUAGCUUUUUUACCUCGUCGAAUGCUUCGAAUAUGUCGAUGCUAGGCUGAUGGAUAGUGCACACAACUGUUCUUCCCGUGUUUACGGUAUUUCUAACAGUUCUCAUUACUAUAGCAGCAGCUCUUGCAUCGAGACCAGAAGUUGGUUCGUCCAUAAAAAUAAUCGAAGGGUUCGCCACAAGCUCUACUGCUAUCGUAAGCCUUUUCCUCUGCUCAGUCGAAAGCCCGGUUACUCCGGGCAAUCCAACUAACGAACCUCUCAACGGAGUAAGUUCCACUAGUUCCAUCACCUCCUCAAUAAACGUCUAUAAUAAUAAAAUUAAACAAAAAAAAUUAAUAAUUUAAUAAUAGUAGUGAAGUUUCGUUAUAGAGUGGCGUAAUCGCAGUAUAUUUUACCUUUCUUGUUUCUGCGUCGACAUCCGAAGGCAGUCUCAACCAAGCCGAGUAAACGAGGGACUCGUAAACUGUGACAUUGGGAGAAUGAAUAUCGUUUUGUUCACAAUAUCCGGAUAUUCUUGCAAAUGUUGACUGAUUCUUCGGGUAACCAGAAAUUGUGAUAUUUCCUUCGAUAUAUCCACCUGUCUUUCUGCCAGCUAGGACGUCCAUUAACGUUGUUUUCCCGGCCCCACUUACUCCCAUGAGAGCUGUAAGCACACCUGGCCUGAAAGCUCCACUCACACCCUUUAAAAGUUCGAGUUUGUCUUCUGUCGCACCUUGCGUUUUCAUUUCCUGCAAUUUUACGUACGAGAUUAGUUUGCAUGAUUAUACUUAAAAAUGGGAAAUUUUUUUUUAUUUUUUUUUACAUACAGCUGGCAUGUCGACGGAAUAUGUGAUGUCAUCGAAGGUUAGAGAAUGGGGUUCGAAGGGAAGAAUCAUUCCUCUCUUGCGGUUUGCAUUGGCUUCGAUUGCGUCUGUUCUUGUGGAUGAAGAACCGGAAGACAUGCUUCUUCGUCUGAUCGCGUUGCCUUGAGCUGAAACAGGGUAAUCUUCGGUGUCUUGAGGUAAUACAGCUUGAGUUUUAUCGAAAGCUGCAACGUAUGGUUUUUUAUAUGUUAAAGAUUGAUAAAUUAAUUUUAAAAAUAAUAUAUUAAAAAAAAAUGAAAAACUUACGGUCGAGAUAUGUGAGAGCUAAAAGAUAGAGGAUGUUGAAUAGAAAAAUGAAACCGAAUGUUGCCCCUGUUCCAAUCCAGUACCAAUACGGUUGAGGAAAGAAGCCUCGAGAUUCCAUCACUAGAACUCCUAAUUUCGUUCCGUUUACCAACUAUAAAAAACGGUAACAUUCUUGAUUAGAUUUUUCGAGAAAAAUAAAAAAAAAAAUUAAAAAGCUCGAUGCUUCGACUUACUUUGCUCCACUGAUGCCCUGUGAAUUCAUUAACGAUAAUUGCAUUCUGAGCGUACAUCAAAGGAGAUGACCAAAAUGCCCAUAUCCACCAUUUCAUUACAUCCUCUGCCAUAACCAAAAAACAAAAUCGAGUGUCAUGAAACAGUGUUAUUUAUUAAAUGACGACUUUUUAUUUAUUUUUCUUUCGUACCUCGUGCUAGGACAACUCCACCUAGCGCGAAAAGCAUGAGCAAGGCAAACAAGCCGAACGUGUUUGCGACGAUCAUAUUUCUACCAGCUGCACCGAU
Molecule: long non-coding RNA, 4329 nt
Filed under: Erythranthe guttata (spotted monkey flower)
Lineage: Eukaryota; Viridiplantae; Streptophyta; Magnoliopsida; Lamiales; Phrymaceae
Description: long non-coding RNA (EGUT_LNC002282)
Source: RNAcentral